RNAcentral lists this ribosomal RNA (296 nucleotides) under uncultured bacterium. RNAcentral's name for it is "partial 16S ribosomal RNA". It matches the Rfam family "Bacterial small subunit ribosomal RNA", at positions 335 to 646 of the family's 1533-position model. The record is from RNAcentral.
AACCUACGGGGGGCAGCAGUGGGGGAUAUUGGACAAUGGGGGGAACCCUGAUCCAGCGACGCCGCGUGAGUGAAGAAGUAUUUCGGUAUGUAAAGCUCUGUCAGCAGGGAAGAAAGAAAUGACGGUACCUGACCAAGAAGCCCCGGCUAACUACGUGCCAGCAGCCGCGGUAAUACGUAGGGGGCAAGCGUUAUCCGGAUUUACUGGGUGUAGAGGGAGCGUAGACGGCAGUGCAAGUCCGGAGUGAAAGCCCGGGGCUCAACCUUGGGACUGCUCUGGAAACCGGAUGGCUGGAG